Molecule: long non-coding RNA, 525 nt
Organism: Peromyscus leucopus (white-footed mouse)
Lineage: Eukaryota; Metazoa; Chordata; Mammalia; Rodentia; Cricetidae
Exons: 2
Source: RefSeq, a predicted model, not a curated record
AAUGCCUCUGUUCUUUUUUUUUUUUUUUUUCCUCAGGCAGAGAAGGGAAUGAGGACUCAGUGAAGUGAGCCUGGGGGAUCCAUGCUCAGGAUUCAGAGAGCCAACCGGCUGGCUUUCUAGGUGUCUUUCAAUCCAACCGAGUUGGCAGUCAAGAAGAGCCAUUACACCCCUCCUGGGAAGAUGCGGAUGGAAAGAUGGAACCGUCUACUGUCUAGUGGGCUCUAGCCACCAGCAGUCUUUGCCACUGUGGACUCUUAAGAACCUGGACCCAAGUCUCUGUCCAGGAGAACUGUUUCCAGGGGUCAGACUGCAUCUAGGACAGAGGGCGUUCUCUGGAUGCUUCUCAGAAUCGUGUCACUGACCCCCAUAUUUCUCUCUUGUCAUGGAGGUGAAUUGGUGAGGUGGGACUGGUAGAUUCCAUGAGCAGUGAAUGCACCCUAGCCCUGCACUAAUUGUGCUAGACAGAGCUGUUUAAAUACCACCAGACAGAAUAUUACUCAAAUUAAAAUGAGGCCUUAAAUGUCA